Molecule: non-coding RNA, 126 nt
Organism: Hordeum vulgare subsp. vulgare (domesticated barley)
Lineage: Eukaryota; Viridiplantae; Streptophyta; Magnoliopsida; Poales; Poaceae
Source: Rfam
CAUGUACUCCCUCCAUCCGGAAUUACUUGUCACAAAAAUGCAUAGAAAUGGAUGUAUCUAGAUCUAAAAUUAAGUCUAAAUACAUCCAUUCCUACCACAAGUAAUUUCGUACGGAGGGAGUAGCAA